ACGUCAAAUCAUCACGGCCCUUACAUCUUGGGCUACACACGUGCUACAAUGAAAAUUACAAAAAAUUAAAAUCAUUAAAAACUUAACUUUAAAGAUUUUCGUAGUUCGAAUUAUAAACUGCAAUUCGUUUAUAUGAAGGUGGAAUCACUAGUAAUCGUAAAUCAGAAUGUUACGGUGAAUAUGUAUCUUGGUUUUGUACACACCGCCCGUCGCGUGCAGAGAACUAAUUUUACUUUAAGAUUAAAUUAAUU
Molecule: ribosomal RNA, 251 nt
Filed under: Trieres chinensis
Lineage: Eukaryota; Bacillariophyta; Thalassiosirophyceae; Eupodiscales; Parodontellaceae
Description: partial Bacterial small subunit ribosomal RNA
Rfam family: Bacterial small subunit ribosomal RNA
Source: RNAcentral